AGGCACCGGCUAGCAGAGAUGCUAUUGGUGCUUCGGGACUCUGAGACAGGUGCUGCAUGGCUGUCGUCAGCUCGUGUCGUGAGAUGUUGGGUUAAGUCCCGCAACGAGCGCAACCCUUAUCCUUUGUUGCCAGCACUUCGGGCGGGAACUCCAAGGAAACUGCCCGUGAUAAACUGGAAGAAGGGGGGGAUGACCUCCAGUCAUCAUGGCCCUUACGAGUAGGGCUACCCACGUGCUACAAUGGCUCAUACCAAAGGAAGCCACCCCGCGAGAGGGAGCGGAUCCCAUAAAGUGCGUCGUAAUCCGGAUUGGAAUCUGCAACUCCACUCCCUGAAGUCGGAAUCGCUAGUAAUCGUGGAUCAAAAUGCCACGGUGAAUACGUUCCCGGGUCUUGUACACACCGAGA
RNAcentral lists this ribosomal RNA (406 nucleotides) under uncultured bacterium. Its description in RNAcentral is "bacterial SSU rRNA". It matches the Rfam family "Bacterial small subunit ribosomal RNA", at positions 991 to 1395 of the family's 1533-position model. The record is from RNAcentral.